Molecule: RNA transcript, 3617 nt
Organism: Oncorhynchus kisutch (coho salmon)
Lineage: Eukaryota; Metazoa; Chordata; Actinopteri; Salmoniformes; Salmonidae
Gene: stxbp6l
Gene name: syntaxin binding protein 6 (amisyn), like
Exons: 7
Source: RefSeq, a predicted model, not a curated record
AUGGCGUCCCAGACAGAUUCGCCUUCUCCGCAAGGCAUGCUGUUGUUGUGUGACAAAACAACACCGCUAUAAGGCGUUGGAAUAGUUUGGUGAGCAUUACUGCAGCUUCCCUGUUUCUGCGUCUCGAAGGAGUGAGGGGUAAAAACAACAAAACAGAUCACUCAUCAAAUCUCCUCCACCCAGUCCCACCAUGAAUAUCCAGUCAGCUAUCAACAGGGCGGUGUUUGCUCCCCGGGAUGAGAGGAUGCUAGUGGCUGUGGAGGUGAAGAGGAGAAAAAGGAAAAGGGUCCCCUUUCUGCCCACUGGAGGCAAGGGAGAAUACAUGACAUACAUCUGUUUGUCAGUGACCAAUAAGAGGCCAGCUCAGCUCCUCAUCACCAAAGUCAAGCAGUUUGGAGGCUCCGCCCCCUUCACCAGAAGGUCACAGUGGGCCGUGGAGCAGCUUCGCCAGGUCAACGGCAUCAACCCCAACAAGGACUGCCCAGAGUUUGACCUGGUGUUCGACAACGCCUUUGACCAAUGGGUGGCCAGCUCAGCGCCAGAGAAGUGCAUCUUCAUCCAGAUCAUGUACCACGCCUGUCAGACCUAUUGGGAAGGCAAGGAGGGAGUCCCUGGUAGCCCAUCCGUGGACCAGCAGAAGGGGCAAAGAGCCCAAGGGGGCCAGGGUAGCCCAGGGGCACAAGGGGGCCAGGGUAGCCCAGGGGCCCAAGUGGGCCAGAUAGGAGGGCCAGUGGCCCAGGCUAGACGGAAGAGCACCGUGGGUCUCAGGCCCCAUCAUACUGAGUUUGUCAACUGUCAGUCCAAACUCACAGGAGAUGCCUGCAAAAUGAAUCUGGUCCUGUACCGUUGCAAGGUCUUUUUCAAUCGCAUGAAGAAGGUGAUGGUUUCAAACCAAAGCCGUUCUCAGGCUGGAGCAGGUCCUAGAGCAGGACCCAGUGGGCAGCGCCCUCCAGGGGGCAGUAUGGGUAGUGUAGUCCAGAGGGCCAGCCAGGCCCUGCAGGAGCGUGGGGAGAGACUGGGCCGGGCCGAGGACAAGACAGUAGACCUAAUGCACAAAGCCCAGCAGUUUGCAGACACUGCUCACAAGGUGUGACAUUGUUGAAUGUAAAUAGUAUAGACACACACACACACACAGAUUCAGCAUGUGGGUAAAAGUUUGUGCAUCAUUCCACACUAUGGCUAUCCUGCAGUGUACGUUGACUUUGUUCAGAACGUUUACCCACUGAGAAAGCCAGCAGAGCUACAGUCAACCUCAUCAACCAACAAAAAAAAUCAGGCCCCUAGAAUGCCCUCCCAAGUGGCCCAUCGAAGUGAAAAUUUAGUAGGAAAUGAUCUAGAAUGUGUAAAUUAUGAUUUUCUUUCUCCUCUAGCUGGCUCUGAAGUAUUCAAACUAGAGGCAUAUCUUCCUGUGGAACCGCUCCUGGAGUCUUUGGCCCUAAUUUACUUGUUAAUUCUAUGUAAUAACAUUUUUACUAAUCUUUGACUGAGUUGCAACUAAUGGACUAAUGUUGGACUGAGUUGAAACCAAGUGGUCACACUGCAAUUCCUCUGUGAAGAGUCCUGUCUAGUACUGGGUUAUUGCGCUUGCUAUUAGGACUUAGACUGUGGACAAGCAACUGUCACUUGUGUCAGAAGGACUUUUAAGUGUUUACAGGUGGGGAGGACGGCCCAGUUAUGGACCCCCCCCCCCAGGAUUAAAGAAUGACCUUUCACCUCUAGAACAGGACCUGUGGAUUACAUGAUGGUGUCCUUUCAUGGGAUAGAUAGUUUAUAUACUGGAUGGCAAUGUAGUGUCACAAUGCUCCCACUGUUUGAGUGUACAUGUCUUCCCUGCUUCAGUAGCCUCUUCUCUGAUAACAAGGAUUUUAGAUUGUAUUGAUGAACUUUUGUGUUGUGCGGUUUUAGAUAUCUUUAAUAUAGAUUCAUGAAUUCACACAGUGAACAGCUGACAAGUGAAGUUGAGAACCUUCGUGUCUCCACAAUGAAUGUAUUUGUUGUUUUAUUUUUUAUUUCAUUUGUAUUUUUUGCUCAUUGCAUAAAUUAUUGAUCAUUUAUGACUGAAUAGGCACACACAAAGAGCAGCUUGUGAAUAUUUGCACGAACCGAUGCAACUCGGAUUGCAAAUUAAUUCCUGGUGUUAUUAUUUUCCAAUUUUUUUUAUCUCUGCGUUGUUGGGAAGGGCCUGUAAGGAAGCAUUUCACUGUUAGUCUACACCUGUUUACGAAGCAUGUGACGCAACCAUUAUUAUUUUUUACAAAUUGCACAUUCAUUGAAUGGCAUUGAAUGCAUAAGUGUGGCUCUUAAGGUUAUUGCCUUCAUGGUUGUCAGAGCAGGUGCAGGGGAACAAGGAACACCUGGUGCAAUCUUUUUUUUUUUCUUUGCAUGAUUUUGUAAUGGUCUUGAUUUCUUUGCUCUUUCUAAAGUGGAAUAUGCACUCAUUUGCUUUCAGUUUUUUUUCCAUGCUCAAUUCCUCCAGUGCCCUUUCCCUGCUUGUAUCAAAACCAUUGCUUAGUCACCAAUCACUGUUCCAAAUUCUAGUUAAUAUGUUCCUAUUUGAUCCUUGCUCUUGUCUUUGUCUAAUCGUGUUUGAUUAAUUGAUCCCCUGAAUUGUCACGUAUGUCAUCUGUUUUUGUCUCUUGUGCCAUAUCUACAUGUAUGCUGGUUCCAUGUGAAAAGAUUUGAGUGUAGCAGUUGGAAUGGUGGGUUCAUGUAUGUAGACCAGGUCUCUUCUAGGUGAGGUCAUAGGGAAGGUAUUUAGUGUUGACGUGUGAUGGUAAUCACGUCCACCCAGCCGGCUCAAUGCGGUAGCAAAUUGAUCCCGGGGACGACGUUGGUGUGAUGACGUUUCUGAUUAACACUGUAUAGAUACCGUGGCGUUGGCUAGUGAUGAGGAGACUGGUAGAGAUGGGAUGGUUCAGUUGGUUAGUGAUAAGGGUUCGUUAGGAUGAAGGUGUAGUUGUUGGUCUAGCUAAAUGCUGUUUUGAUGCCCAGUGAUAAUGUUUUUAUUCUGCAUACUACAGACAGUUUUUUGGGAUGGAGUUUUCCUUUACUCUUAUGUUUUGGUAUUUUUUUUCAUUAGUCCAUUGACAAGCAAAACAUUUUGAGACCAAUGAAACAAACACCGAAAGACUGUUUUUGGGGUGGAGUUUUCCUUUAAUUGAUAUGCUUUAGCAGCUGGGGCAGUAUGUCCCUCCUUUAUGCUAAACGUCUCCCAGAAAGUGAGAGGGUCGUCUUACCUCUGUCGUCAGAGUACUCCUAUUAGAAUGACGCUUAUUCUGUCGGCUAACUGUCAGGAGUGGAAUCCAAAGAGGCCGCUUGUCGUAACUGCAUGUUUUCUGUUGCUAUGUUACUGCUGUGGCAAAAUGUUGGUUAGAAUCUAAAUGAAUUGUCCAAGAAGAGUGCCUUACUACCUUAUUUGUAUAGCCUGAUCGUGGAGUUAAACCCUGUACUGACAUGUUUUAUUGUUCCUAGAAAUGCAGAGUAUUUAACAUUGCCUUAUACUACAGAGCUUCAAGUACUGUUUUAUGUGUAAAUGAGAUUUCUUGUACUGUCUUUAAUGAGAAGAAGAGCAAUGACCUUAACACUCCUUUUUGAGCCAAUAAAUGAAACCCAUCUGA